Molecule: ribosomal RNA, 274 nt
Filed under: uncultured bacterium
Lineage: Bacteria
Description: partial 16S ribosomal RNA
Rfam family: Bacterial small subunit ribosomal RNA
Source: RNAcentral
AUACGGAGGGUCCGAGCGUUAAUCGGAAUUACGGGGCGUAAAGCGUUCGUAGGCGGUUUGUUAAGCAAGAUGUGAAAGCCCAGGGCUCAACCUUGGAACUGCAUUUUGAACUGGCAAACUAGAGUACUGCAGAGGGUGGUGGAAUUUCCAGUGUAGCGGUGAAACGCGUAGAGAUUGGAAGGAACAUCAGUGGCGAAGGCGGCCACCUGGACAGAUACUGACGCUGAGGAACGAAAGCGUGGGGAGCGAACAGGAUUAGAAACCCUAGUAGUCC